AGGAGCAGGACGGAGAGCUUCAGCGUGUGUGAUAAACUGGGCUGCUCUCCUCCUCUCUGUCAGAUCGCGCUCUGCAUCACACCAUUUCACAUGAUGACCGACUCUGCUUACGAGCACAGAAACCUUCAGCUCUGGCUAUUUGCUUCCAACAUGCCUUUAUCUGCUUUCUUUUCCCCCCGGUUUAUCUUGAAUAAUUUUGAGUGAUGCAACACUGUAAGCGGAAAUGAUUUAUGUCGCAUCCUACAGCAUCAAGGUGCGCAAAGCGAGCGGAACAUUUGAUGGUUUUGGAAGGACGCUCUUCUGCACCGACUGCCUUGUGGACAUUUCCCCAAACUGGAUUUAUGGACACUUAUUAUCUCGGGGGAUGAAAACCUAUUAUGUAUAUCCUACUUCGCAAGGUGUAUUUGUCGCAUAUAACAGUUGACUGUAGAUUCAUUAAGGCGCCACUGUAUCAAAUGAUGACAGGCUAUAUUAAUAGGUUCUUUGAUCUUCAGACUGAAUGGACGUCACUAAAUGGAUCGCCUAAUUAAAAUCCUAUUUGCGUGGAAUGUUCCUUUCUGUGUAAGGUGCAAGGUUGUCUUUGACAAAUGGUGCCCUCCACUUUUUCCCAAUAUUUAGUUUACCCCUCCUGAUGCGCUUUCAACUGCCCCCACCCCGUCCGACCCCCCACAAGAGGCGGCGGUGUCUCUGGUUUAGUCUCAUAGUUUCCCCCUUCUUUCUUACCUCUGCUGCAUUUUGCAUGAGCUAUAUAGGUCAUUAGCAUUUUAGCGUAUGCAAGACUUGACAAAGCUGGUGAGGAGCCAGAUGGGCCCUCUACUAUUUUUAUUUUUUUUUUAUCUCAUGGGAGUUGAGCAAGGGACCAACUGCAGCAAGCCACUGAGCGCUUCUUUUUAUUGCCAUCACUCGGGCCUUAUGUUGCACCAACACAUGAUGGAGAGAUGCGCACCGUCCUGUGGAAAUAACGCAUUCGAAAAAAUAGGUAACGUAAUAAAUGAGAACGCUUGCUUGAAUUAUGAUGUGAUGCACAGAUGCUUUUAAGGAUGCAUGAUGCUCUGUGCAAUGUUGGAUGCUGAUGAUACACCAGUCAGAGAAGGACGUAGACAUUUUGGUGCAACAUCUUUGCUGUAGCUUAGUUGUGCGAUUCAGAACACUGUAGUUGCAAACAGGCCUGCUUUUCUUCGUGUUCACAGCGGACCUUGAUUUAAAUGUCCAUACAAUUAAGGCACGCGGUGAAUGCCAAGAGAGAUGGCAAAUAUCAUCGAGGAUUGUUUUUAUAACAGCAUAGCGCAUAUAGUCCUGGGUUCGCGAUGCAUGACAGUUCUUAUUUUUCUUUCGGUCGGUUUUUGCUAGGAGCGCGUGUGUGGAUGCAAGCCGAAGCAUUAAUGCGGCCAAACUGAUUUUUAAUAUUUCAUUGCGUUCUUCCAUAAUUUUGUGCUACGCAAAAGAGCGUAUCAUGGAAUGUUGUUAAGUGUCACUGUACGUUUAUGAGUUUAAAGUUCUAACAAUUACCCUGAGGUCUGAUGUAUUUUGUCAUUUACUGUCUAUUCAUAGGACGAUUACAAUCUAGAAAUAGUCUCAUUUGCAGAUCUGUUUGGGGAUACGAUGUCUUCAGGAGAAGAUGAAGAAUAAUAUCUACAGAAAAGUUGUGAGGCCUACGGUGACAGCCAAAUUAAACAGAACGCACUGAUACUUUACAUUUCUGAACGUUCAGGACGAUAGCAGUUUGGUCCUCAAAAAUUACACUUGUCAUGUUUCCUCAAUAAGGACACUGAAAAUAUUGAACAUGUACCUUUGUAUUAUAUUUAUGAUUGUGUAAAUGAUUUUAGCUUGCCAAUAAAGUCAAAUAUACACUAA
Carassius carassius (crucian carp) is the source of this 1854-nucleotide long non-coding RNA. RefSeq lists it as uncharacterized. The transcript is spliced from 2 exons. Lineage: Eukaryota; Metazoa; Chordata; Actinopteri; Cypriniformes; Cyprinidae. The record is from RefSeq and is a predicted model, not a curated record.